UUAUUAACAGUUUAAAAAUACAGUUAAAAAAACAAUACAUGCAACAGGGUAUUGUGUAUUGUGAAAUGUUAAAAUCAGUUUGGGUUAUUAGAAAUACCUUAUGUGUUAGUCUUUCGGCAAGGCAUUUCAGCAGUUAUGGAGUUAAUGAGAGUCUGCUAUGAUUGAUGUAUCACAGGACCAAUGGGGUCAAGUUUGUUUUGACCGGGACUUUCUUUCUUGUUCCUGUGGAAUGCAGAGGAGUUUCCUGAGCAGCGAAGAGCAGUGUGUGUGGAUUUUUGUGGAAUAUUGACCCUCUCUGCUCUCUCUGCUGUGGUGCCAUUUCCAAUCAUUUUGAAUAUCUGGAUAGGAAAAUAGUACCCCCUGGCCUCCUGAGAUAGUGUUGGCAACCUUCUUCUCUCAACAUAUCCAUGAGUCAUAUCAACAUCCAUAAUGUUGCCUCCAAACCUAUCCUAGGCUUAUACAUGGGGUCAACUUAUAUGUGGAUAUAUAUAGUAUCAUUUGCCUACCCUAGCUUCUAACUUAUAGUUUUUAUAACUCCCUCUGUUUAUCACAAACUACAAGGGUUGAAUGAAAAGUAAUGCCUCCACCUUCGCUACUUGGGUUUGGAUGGGAAUAUUUUAAUAAAUCAAACAAAGAAAUAAUCCUUAGAAUGUGCUCUUUAACUACCACUAUUCACUUUUUCACAUAAUCACCAGGCAAUUGUAUACAUUUCUGCCAACAAUGAACAUGUUUUCUGACUUGGAAGAAGUCGACACUCUGUUUCCGCAACCUGCGUCUCACAGUACCUAUCGUGCACAGAUCUUCCGAUAGCCAGGUAAAGCAAUAAUGUGGCCCACACGUUCUUGUGAAAUGGCAAUUAUGCUUGCAAUUUCUCUCUGAGU
Molecule: long non-coding RNA, 881 nt
Filed under: Anolis carolinensis (green anole)
Lineage: Eukaryota; Metazoa; Chordata; Lepidosauria; Squamata; Anolidae
Description: lncRNA (ENSACAG00000043613.1)
Source: RNAcentral